RNAcentral lists this unclassified non-coding RNA (245 nucleotides) under Didymosphaeriaceae sp. Its description in RNAcentral is "partial contains 5.8S ribosomal RNA, internal transcribed spacer 2, and large subunit ribosomal RNA". The record is from RNAcentral. Lineage: Eukaryota; Fungi; Ascomycota; Dothideomycetes; Pleosporales; Didymosphaeriaceae.
CGCACAUUGCGCCCCUCGGUAUUCCGUGGGGCAUGCCUGUUCGAGCGUCAUCUACACCCUCAAGCUCUGCUUGGUGUUGGGCGUCUGUCCUGCCUCCGGGCGCGGACUCGCCCCAAAGGUAUUGGCAGCGGUCUACGACCCCUCCCGCGCAGCACAUUGCGCUUCUCGGGGCGGCCCGGCCCGCGUCCACAAAGCCCAUAUCGUCUUUUGACCUCGGAUCAGGUAGGGAUACCCGCUGAACUUAA